AUGGGGACCUGUAUGAAUGGCACAACGAGGGCUUAACUGUCUCCUCUUUCAAGUCAAUGAAAUUGAUCUCUCCGUGCAGAAGCGGAGAUACUACCAUAAGACGAGAAGACCCUGUGGAGCUUUAGACACCAAAACAGACCAUGUUAAAGACCCUAAAACAAAAGAUUAAACUCAAUGCCCCCUGACUUGAUGUC
RNAcentral lists this ribosomal RNA (194 nucleotides) under Diodon hystrix (spot-fin porcupinefish). RNAcentral describes it as "partial large subunit ribosomal RNA". Lineage: Eukaryota; Metazoa; Chordata; Actinopteri; Tetraodontiformes; Diodontidae. The record is from RNAcentral.